This 508-nucleotide ribosomal RNA is filed under the name uncultured bacterium. Its description in RNAcentral is "partial 16S ribosomal RNA". It matches the Rfam family "Bacterial small subunit ribosomal RNA", at positions 28 to 523 of the family's 1533-position model. The record is from RNAcentral.
GAUGAACGCUAGCUACAGGCUUAACACAUGCAAGUCGAGGGGAAACGAUAGAGAAAGCUUGCUUUUUCUAGGCGUCGACCGGCGCACGGGUGAGUAACGCGUAUCCAACCUGCCCACCACUUGGGGAUAACCUUGCGAAAGUAAGACUAAUACCCAAUGACAUCUCUAGAAGACAUCUGAAGGAGAUUAAAGAUUUAUCGGUGAUGGAUGGGGAUGCGUCUGAUUAGCUUGUUGGCGGGGUAACGGCCCACCAAGGCGACGAUCAGUAGGGGUUCUGAGAGGAAGAUCCCCCACAUUGGAACUGAGACACGGUCCAAACUCCUACGGGAGGCAGCAGUGAGGAAUAUUGGUCAAUGGGCGAGAGCCUGAACCAGCCAAGUAGCGUGCAGGAUGACGGCCCUAUGGGUUGUAAACUGCUUUUAUAAGGGAAUAAAGUGAGCCUCGUGAGGCUUUUUGCAUGUACCUUAUGAAUAAGGACCGGCUAAUUCCGUGCCAGCCGCCGCCGUAA